CAAACUUAAAGUACGUUGGUGAUAUUUUUAUUCCAUUUGACACAAAGUGCAUAUUCAUUUUGAACCAUGAACUGAGCCUUCUUGGAGUAUUUUAAAGGGAAAGUUCAGCGUUUGAAAGUUCAGCGUUGGGUCGCUUUCCUGCUCGGUGGUAGCUAGCUUAACUAGGGUGUGCAGAAAGGGACUUCUUAUUGUUUCAGGGUGGAGUUUUAAGGCACAUUACCGCCCCAUACUGUAUUGGCAUGUAGACCGAAGUAAACAAGACAGGGACAAAAUGUGAGGUUCCUAGUCUCCUUCCCUCCCUUUUCUUCCCCUGUGUCUCUUUCCCUGUGUGUUUGUCUUGUUUGUCUGCUCACCUGGAGAUGGGGGUAGACUCCACUCACCUUGCUUCAAUCAAGUCUGCUCACCUGCUGCUAAUCUGCAGUCAAGUCAUCCACUCUGUCUGCAGUACUUAAGCCCGGCUAAGUCCUCCACUCAUCGCCAGAUCGUCUAUCUACCAAGCGUGAUCUCCAUGCAACUUUUCAAGAACCAAACGCCCAGCUCCAGAUCCACAGCCAGCCACUCACCAUCCAUAACGCACCCUGGAAACCUGAACUCUACCUGCAAGUUCUCUCAUUAAAACCCUGUUUUCAAAACUUCA
Long non-coding RNA from Notolabrus celidotus (New Zealand spotty), 637 nucleotides. RefSeq lists it as uncharacterized. NCBI's taxonomy places the organism in Eukaryota, Metazoa, Chordata, Actinopteri, Labriformes, Labridae. The record is from RefSeq and is a predicted model, not a curated record. The transcript has 2 exons.